UUUCUUUUAUUUUCUUUUCUUUCUUUUUUCUUUUUUUCUCUUUUUCUUUUUUUCUUUUUUUUUUCAGCUUUCAAAAUUUUGAAAAUUUGCCCCAGUUUAUUUUUAAUUGAGGCUUUCUUUUGUUCAUUUCCUUUUCUUUCGACUUUCCUAAAAAAAAUUGAGUUUACCCCAGUGUGGGGUUUUCUCUCUUUUCUUUUCUUUCAAAAACUAAAUUUGCCCCAGUGUGGGGUUUGCGAUUCUCAGAGGUUGCCAAACGAAAUGAUCUAUUCUGAAGGCUCAAAAGGAAUGACUAAGGAUAAAAUGUCUCAAUGGGAAAGGAAGAAGGCCUGACUUUCAUUCCAUUCUUUGCAUUAACCCUUGAAAGGAAACUUUCAUUUAUCAGAUGAAGAAUUUCUUACACACAUAUUCGAAUUGAUCGGUUGAGGAAAAAUUUGUCCACUCCACUUCUGCGAGAACUAGUACUCUGC
RNAcentral lists this long non-coding RNA (467 nucleotides) under Coffea arabica (coffee). RNAcentral's name for it is "long non-coding RNA (CARA_LNC005078)". The record is from RNAcentral. Lineage: Eukaryota; Viridiplantae; Streptophyta; Magnoliopsida; Gentianales; Rubiaceae.